RNA transcript from Phlebotomus papatasi, 3289 nucleotides. It is a transcript of the gene named optomotor-blind protein, with no coding region annotated. The record is from RefSeq and is a predicted model, not a curated record. Lineage: Eukaryota; Metazoa; Arthropoda; Insecta; Diptera; Psychodidae. The transcript is spliced from 8 exons.
UCAGCUUGACACCCCGAGGUGUGAUUGCAGACACCAAAAACCAGACAACAAAUACAGGAAAUAUUGUUGAUGUGCUAACCAGUUUCUUACCGACCGGCAUUAAGGUUUAUAGUGUGUCCGUUUGUCGCGCCACGCAGUUGUUGUUUCCACCUCAACAUUGCGCAUAUUUUUGCAUUUUCGGUUUCAAUCUCGUUUUCUCGACUGUUUUUUUUUUGGUUCAUUAAACUUAUAUCUAGUGCACCACCCUUUGAUUUUUUUCUCUCGUAGUGUAUGGAGAAAAAAUAAAUAGAAUUGCGUUUUAGCGUAUAGAACUGAAGAAGAAAAAUGUUUUAAAGUGAACAAAUCAAUAAAAUGGUGCCGUAUAUUGCGACUAAUGCACUGUGGAGUGACACCAAAAUGUGGAUGAAGUGGAAAAGGGUUAAAUCCCAGUGAUAAAUCGCUUACGUCCUGUGGCAUAUUUGCAACUGCGGUAAACACUUGCGACCCAAGACCUUUAGUUCAACCAGGGAUUUCGAACUAAAUGUGAAUUUAUGGCAAAAAUCUGUGAUUAAAAAAAGGAAAAAUAAAAUGUGCAUGUGAAAUGUGAAUAUCACCAACUUACAACCCCAACGGAAAAUUCACACGGGAAAGUUGUUAGAAAUCAAGACGAAUUUUCGUGAAUGUGUUCCAUAGACAGAAUCCCCUAGUUAAAAAAAAAAUGGUAAUACUAGAAAAAAAUAAAUAGUGGCAAAGGAUAUCGUAAAACAGAAAAAAAAAGGAAAGAGUUCAUCAAAAAUUUUUAAGGGGUUUUGUGAUGAGAUACGAUAUAAUAGAACCACAUCAGUCUGUCAGAAUAAGCAAUUCUGCCAAAGGAAUGGCUUAUCAUCCAUUCUUGCAACUGUCCCGACCCACUGACUUCAGCGUCUCAUCGCUGCUGACAGGUGGUGCACCACUCCAGGGACAAGGAUCACCACCAUCCUCCUAUUUUCCGGCGGCAGCUCUGGCCGCUCUUACGGGCAGCGGUCAGACGCCCCAUUCGCAUCUCUAUCCUAGUGCCAUUUUACCAAAACUCACCACCGCGACCCAUCCUCACGUUCACCAUCAACUAAAUACCCAGUACACUACUGCCGAGGACGUUGUCCUGGCCUCUGUUGCCCACCAACUGCAUCCCGCCAUGCGACCACUGCGUUCCAUCCAGCCGGAUGAUGAUGGCGUUGUUGAUGAUCCCAAGGUCACCCUCGAGGGCAAAGAUCUUUGGGAAAAGUUUCACAAGUUGGGCACAGAAAUGGUCAUAACCAAGAGUGGCAGACAAAUGUUUCCUCAAAUGAAAUUCCGUGUAUCCGGAUUAGAUACGAAGGCGAAAUAUAUUUUAUUAUUGGAUAUUGUUGCAGCAGAUGACUAUCGUUACAAAUUUCACAACAGUAGGUGGAUGGUAGCUGGAAAAGCUGAUCCUGAAAUGCCAAAAAGGAUGUACAUACAUCCAGAUUCACCAUCAACUGGCGAACAGUGGAUGCAGAAAGUAGUAUCGUUUCACAAAUUAAAAUUAACAAACAAUAUAAGCGACAAACACGGAUUUGUAAGUACUACAAUAUUGAAUUCAAUGCACAAAUAUCAGCCGAGAUUUCAUUUGGUGAGAGCAAAUGACAUCCUUAAACUACCUUAUUCAACAUUUCGCACAUAUGUAUUCAAAGAGACGGAAUUUAUAGCUGUAACUGCAUAUCAAAAUGAAAAGAUCACACAACUCAAGAUCGACAACAAUCCUUUUGCGAAGGGGUUUCGUGACUCAGGGGCAGGAAAGAGGGAGAAAAAACAAACACUGAGUACACGCGGAUCAUCGGAUUCAGAUAAAUUAACUCCGGCCAAUAUAUCAACAUCACGGGGUGGAGCAUUUCUCUUGGAUAGUCGCACAAGGCACGAUCAGGCCCAAUUGGAUGAAGAUGAUAACCUCCUGGACGUCGUUGGACCAUCACAGAGUCCACUGUUGCCUCUUGACCAUCCAAUGCAGCUCCCAACACAUCCAAACACAGCGUGGUUCAAUUUAUCCAGUACGGGAAAGCGUUUUUCAGCGUCCUACGACAUGAGUUCGUACGAUGGAGAACGCGAUGGGAGUGAUUCAAAUUGCUCAGAUUCGGGGAAUUUGGGUGCCUUCACGAGGCCCCAGACAUCAGAAAGUCCUCAGGAUGAUACCACCACGAAAAAUAGUACAACAUAUCCCUCACCAAACAUCUCCCUCGGUCCACCAUUGCAUCAGUCACCGCAUCUGUUGCCUUAUCUCUACCCCACGGGUCUCUACCCGCCACCCCCAAUGUCGCUACUACAUUCACCUGCCUCUGCCAUCAAUCCUACACUCAAUCCCAGUCUCCUGUUUAAUGCCCAACUCGCCCUCGCGGCCCAACAUCCUGCCUUGUUUGGCCACUACAGCACAGCAGGUCACACACCACCCUCAACAUCCGCCAUCACGGCCACCUCCACGUCCGCCCUCCAUGGACUGACAAAACACCGCUUUGCCCCCUACAACCUCCCCGGCCUAGGUUCGGCCUUUGAUGCCGUCACACCAACCUCCUCAGUCUCAGGUGGCCAGAGAAGCCUCAGCAGUAGCCCUCGACCGAGACCAUCAUCGAUAUCACCACCCAUGCGACCACUAUCCGCCUCCUCUACAUCCUCCAAAUCCCACACCAUUCACGUAACAGACGCCCCAGCGGCUACUCCACCUGCCCCAACGUCCAAAACACCAGUGCCAUCGAAUGCAACAUCACCCCCACCUCAGGCUUCUGGCCUCAAGAGCAUCGAGAAGAUGGUAGAUGGCCUGGAGCAGCCGAAAGGUGACACAGAUACCACAAAGCUCGAACAGUGACACUUGCUAGAUAUCGACCUUGAGAUGGACACGAAUGAGGAGUUAUGGGACAUUCAGAGAGUACCAGACGGCAAUCACAAAUCAUGACACAAUUUGAUCUCAAUCUAAAUAGCAAUCAUACACAACCAUUGUAAAUGUGGCAGGAUUCAAAAUUUUUAUUUCAUGCUACCACUGUUCAAAAUGGCCGCCUAACGGACUACAAUGAAAACGAAUGUAUACGUAUAAUGCGUAUAACAGUUUUUGAAUGGGAAUUUUCGAUGCAUUUCAACGGACACUAAGUAAGUUUAUCUGUUUUUUUUUUUAAAGUGUUUUAUUGAAUUAUUUAUUCCAAGUGGAUACAUUCACAAACACCCUUGAAGAAAACUUCGCGAUUGUCUGUCAAGGCCCUUACACUCUAACCAAACCAAGUUCAAUGUUCGAAAGUUUUAACCAAUAUGACAAAAAUAUUUAUAAAAA